UGCAGAGGUGGCAAGCGUUGUCCGGAUUUAUUGGGCGUAAAGAGCGUGUAGGCGGCCAGACAGGUCCGUUGUGAAAACUCGAGGCUCAACCUCGAGAUGUCGAUGGAAACCGUCUGGCUAGAGUCCGGAAGAGGAGUGUGGAAUUCCUGGUGUAGCGGUGAAAUGCGCAGAUAUCAGGAGGAACACCGGUGGCGAAGGCGGGAUCCUGGGCCAGUACUGACGCUGAGGAGCGAAAGCGUGGGGAGCAAACAGG
RNAcentral lists this ribosomal RNA (253 nucleotides) under uncultured bacterium. Its description in RNAcentral is "partial 16S ribosomal RNA". It matches the Rfam family "Bacterial small subunit ribosomal RNA", at positions 524 to 776 of the family's 1533-position model. The record is from RNAcentral.